CAAUAGCGUAUAUUAAAGUUGUUGCAGUUAAAAAGCUCGUAGUUGGAUUUCUGGUAGGAGCGACCAUACCGGGCUUGAUUGUCCGUGUAAUGCGUUGUCUCCAGCCAUCCUCGUGGAGAGCGUUUCCGUCAUUAAUUUGUCGGAUUCGGGACCCGCGUCAUUUACUGUGAAAAAAUUAGAGUGUUUAAAGCAGGCAAUUGGCUUGAAUACAUUAGCAUGGAAUAAUAAGAUAGGACUUUGGUGCUAUUUUGUUGGUUUGCACAUCAAGGUAAUGAUUAACAGAAUCAGUCGGGGAUAUUCGUAUGCAAAUGUCAGAGGUGAAAUUCUUGGAUUUUUUACAGACGAACUACUGCGAAAGCAUUUAUCAAGGAUGUUUUCAUUA
Molecule: ribosomal RNA, 382 nt
Filed under: uncultured eukaryote
Lineage: Eukaryota
Description: partial 18S ribosomal RNA
Rfam family: Eukaryotic small subunit ribosomal RNA
Source: RNAcentral